This 405-nucleotide ribosomal RNA is filed under the name uncultured bacterium. Its description in RNAcentral is "partial 16S ribosomal RNA". It matches the Rfam family "Bacterial small subunit ribosomal RNA", at positions 29 to 526 of the family's 1533-position model. The record is from RNAcentral.
AUUGAACGCUGGCGGCAUGCUUUACACAUGCAAGUCGGACGAGUGGCGCACGGGUUAGUAACGCAUCGGCAAGUACCGAGUAGGGGGGGAAACUGUCUGAAAGGUCAGCUAAUACCGCAUUUCCUUCGAGUGGCCGCUGUGUGAUUGGCUGGGUGGCGGGGUAAAGGCCCACCAAGGGUACGAUCAGUAGCGGGUCUGAGAGGAUGAUCAGCCACACUGGAACUGAGACAAGGCCCAGACGCUGACGGGAGGCAGCAGUGGGGAAUUUUGGACAAUGGGCGAAAGCCGGAUGCAGCCAUGCCGCGUGGCUGAAGAAGGCCUUCGGGUUGGAAAGGACUUUUGUCGGGGAAGCGGUACCUGAAGAAUAAGCACCGGCUAACUACGUGCCAGCAGCCGCGGUAAUAC